Molecule: ribosomal RNA, 1208 nt
Filed under: metagenome
Description: bacterial LSU rRNA
Rfam family: Bacterial large subunit ribosomal RNA
Source: RNAcentral
UGUCAGACUUCCAAGAAAAGCUUGCACUGUCAAAAACAAAUAAUGCCUGUACCAUAACCGACACAGGUGGGUAGGUAGAGUAUACUAAGGGGCGCGAGAUAACUCUCUCUAAGGAACUCGGCAAAAUGACUCCGUAACUUCGGGAGAAGGAGUGCCUUAUUUUUAAGGUUGCAAUAACAAGAUCCAAGCAACUGUUUACCAAAAACACAGGUCUCCGCGAAGUCGUAAGACGAUGUAUGGGGGCUGACGCCUGCCCAGUGCCAGAAGGUUAAAGAAGUUGGUUAGCAUUCGCGAAGCUGAUAACUGAAGCCCUGGUGAACGGCGGCCGUAACAAUAACGGUCCUAAGGUAGCGAAAUUCCUUGUCGGGUAAGUUCCGACCCGCACGAAAGGCGUAAUGAUUUGGAUACUGUCUCGGAGAGGGGCUCGGUGAAAUAGACUUGUCUGUGAAGAUGCGGACUACCUGCACCUGGACAGAAAGACCCUAUGAAGCUUUACUGUAACUUGAGAUUGAAAUUGGACUUUAUUUGCGCAGUAUAGGUGGGAGGCCUUGAGAAGAAUCUUGCGAGAUUCUUGGAGCCAUCAGUGAGAUACCACUCUUGUAAUGUUAGAUUUCUAACUUUGUAUCAUUCUCUGGUCAAAGAACAGUUUCAGGCGGGCAGUUUGACUGGGGCGGUCGCCUCCCAAACGGUAACGGAGGCGCACAAAGGUUUCCUCUGAACGGGUAGAAAUCGUAUCUAGAGUGUAAAGGCAUAAGGAAGCUUGACUGUGAGACCUACAAGUCGAGCAGGGACGAAAGUCGGUCUUAGUGAUCUGACGGUGCUGAGUGGAAAGGCCGUCACUCAACGGAUAAAAGUUACUCUAGGAUAACAGGCUGAUCUCCACCAAGAGUUCACAUCGACGGGGAGGUUUGGCACCUCGAUGUCGGCUCAUCGCAUCCUGGGGCGGUAGUACGUCCCAAGGGUUGGGCUGUUCGCCCAUGAAAGCGGUACGCGAGCUGGGUUCAGAACGUCGUGAGACAGUUCGGUCCAUAUCCGGUGUAGGCGUUAGAAUAUUGAGAGGAGCCUUCUCUAGUACGAGAGGACCGAGAAGGACAUACCUCUGGUGUACCAGUUAUCGUGCCAACGGUAAACGCUGGGUAGCUAUGUAUGGAGUGGAUAACCGCUGAAAGCAUCUAAGUGGGAAGCCCACCUCAAGAUAAGUAUUCUCA